ACCCAAAAAAGACAGUCUCAGUUCGGAUUGAAGGCUGAAAUUCGCCUUCAUGAAGCCGGAAUUGCUAGUAAUGGCAGGUCAGCAUACUGCCGUGAAUACGUUCCCGGGCCUUGUACACACCGCCCGUCACACCAUGAGAGUCGGAAAUGCCCGAAGUCUGUGACCCAACCUGAGAGGGAGGGAGCAGCCGAAGGCAGGUCUGAUGACUGGGGUGAAGUCGUAACAAGGUACC
Molecule: ribosomal RNA, 232 nt
Filed under: uncultured bacterium
Lineage: Bacteria
Description: partial 16S ribosomal RNA
Rfam family: Bacterial small subunit ribosomal RNA
Source: RNAcentral